AGUGGAAAUAGUUUCUAUCAAAAUUAAAGUAUUUAGAGAUUUUCCUCAAAUUUCAAAUUAUGCGAAUCCCAUUUUCCGCGAUGCUGCAGCGCGGGGAUUUUACUUGCAGGAUCACACAGAACGCCACGCCGUGUGACUGUGACUCAAGGUCUCUCCUCCCAGCUGCUCCCUCCGGUCCACAAGACAAGGAAGACCCUCGGUUUGCCAAGAUCAGCAGCGCCGAGCGACCAGCCAAGACAGUCACUGAUGCCUGAACCGAGUUCACCGAAGUCACGGAGGCCGGGAGGUCUCAGCAGAGCCCGGGGGCUCCCCACCUCAAGGAUGGCCAAGAAGACACGCCUGGGGGCCGACACGCGGGCCAAGGGUGGCUGCCCUCAGAGCUCAGAUGGGCCCAGGCUCUUGCUAUGGGGCCGGGCUCCCCAGAGCGGGGCUUCCAACUCAGGUGCCCGUGAGCCCCUGGAGACAGCGUGAAGGUGCAGAUUCUGCGUUUCUAACAAGCCCCCGGGUUGGCUGCUGCCUCCGCGGCGCGGUGGGCACAAGGGCCGUGGGCUGGGGCUGGCCUGGGCUGACCCGACACCGACCAGGCCUUGCUGCGCGCCCCUCACACUGCAGCCUGGGAACCUGAGCCGGGAGCUGCGGGCCGCUCUCCCGCAGCUGGGAAGCGGGACUGACCUCCCCUCCCCACCGUCGCCCCUGCGGUGAGAUCCUGCCUGCCUGGGAUCAUGCACCUGUGGUUGGGCUCUGGGAGACAGAAGUGGCCCCACAGCUUGGGCCCCACGCAGUGGACACUGCCACUUAAUUUUGGUGUAAUUGAUGUCAAUUCGGGUACCCAGGCCCCCAGUGAAAUGCCUGAUGAAUUCGCUGCGAUGAACGGUGCUCCACGCCGUGGACGGUGGCCAAUCAGAGCUGCCGCUUCUGAUGGAGGCUGAGCCGGCUGGGGCGGGCGCAGCAGAACCGGCUGGGGAGGCGUCUUGGCCAAGAACCAGCCCCAGCCUCGCUCAGGGCCCCAACCCGCAGACCAUGUAAUUAAGCUGCGUUCUGCAGCCAGGGCAAGAGUCUCAGCUCUGAACAUCUCCCUGUGCCUCUGAGGAGCCAGGCCUGGAAAGCCUCUAAAAUAGAUUUUUCUGCCUCAAGACAGAAGAUGGGUGUUCCAGGCAGAGAAGAGCUGCCUAGUCACCUGCUCUGCUCCACCUGGUCAGAGACCCUUGACCUUUAGAAGACUGGACCUGAGGGCAUGGCUGGUGGACCUGAGGACGUGAAAAGUGGACCUGGCCACCCAGCUAUAGCUUUUUGGGUUCCUGUGUUCCCAUUUCUUGGGUCAAUCUCACACCUGCCUGCUCCCAGGAAGACACCCCCAGGCCCCUCACACUCCUGGGGGCAGCUAGAAUUGGCUUCAGGGUGGAACGAGGGGCGCCAUGGGUGUUUGGAAUCCCAGAUCUGGGACAGGCACCGGCAGCAGGAUUUCAGCCUGGCCUGGACUCUGGUGUGUCCCGUCUGAAGAAACCCCGCCCUGUGAAAGUUCAAGUUUAGCAUCCGAUGACCCAUUUAAGAGGUUUGCUGAGCCACGUCGCAGGAGGGUCUGGGUGCAAACGGAGGUGGCAACACACAGAGCGAGCCUUGAGCACCCAGGUUACCCCCAGGGCCUCCAGUCCAGCCUGGGGGCUCCUGCCGUCCUGUGGAGCAGACCCCUGGGAUCAGGGAUGGGGCUGAGCUGGAGAGUGUGCAGGAUUGAUUAAUAAUGUCUGCCACGGUCAGGGCAACUGCUGUGUUUCUGGGACCUACAAGCUAAAAAUGGUUGGAAAAAAAUCAAAACACUAAUAUUUGUGACAUAUGAGAAUGCUAUGAAAGUCAACUUUGCUAUCCAUAAAUAAAGUUUUAUUGACACA
RNAcentral lists this long non-coding RNA (1886 nucleotides) under Pongo abelii (Sumatran orangutan). RNAcentral's name for it is "lincRNA". The stretch from base 1 to 55 matches the Rfam family "Highly accelerated region 1A/1B", at positions 64 to 118 of the family's 118-position model. The record is from RNAcentral. Lineage: Eukaryota; Metazoa; Chordata; Mammalia; Primates; Hominidae.